This 309-nucleotide unclassified non-coding RNA is filed under the name uncultured Glomeraceae. RNAcentral describes it as "sequence contains ITS2". Lineage: Eukaryota; Fungi; Glomeromycota; Glomeromycetes; Glomerales; Glomeraceae. The record is from RNAcentral.
AACGCAAAUUGCACUCUCUGGCAACCCGGGGAGUAUGCCUGUUUGAGGGUCAGUGUUAAUAAAAAUCGGUGCGUUGCAAUUUUUUUUUGUGAUGUUUCCGGAGUUUGAGUUAUCUUAAUUAACUCUCUUCUGGGUUUUUAAGAGGCUUAAAAUUGACCUUCUUUGUGCAUUUUAGACGUACAUAAAUUUUUUUUUAUUCGUCUAUCUUAAUGCCAAAAUCUAUUAGAUGCGACCAUAUCAUGUGGUUUCGUGUCCAUAAAUUUUUCACGAUUUGACCUCAAAUCAGGUAGGAACACCCGCUGAACUUAA